RNAcentral lists this ribosomal RNA (573 nucleotides) under uncultured Enterobacteriaceae bacterium. RNAcentral's name for it is "bacterial SSU rRNA". It matches the Rfam family "Bacterial small subunit ribosomal RNA", at positions 102 to 671 of the family's 1533-position model. The record is from RNAcentral. Lineage: Bacteria; Pseudomonadati; Pseudomonadota; Gammaproteobacteria; Enterobacterales; Enterobacteriaceae.
ACGGGUGAGUAAUGUCUGGGAAACUGCCUGAUGGAGGGGGAUAACUACUGGAAACGGUAGCUAAUACCGCAUAACGUCGCAAGACCAAAGUGGGGGACCUUCGGGCCUCACACCAUCAGAUGUGCCCAGAUGGGAUUAGCUAGUAGGUGGGGUAAUGGCUCACCUAGGCGACGAUCCCUAGCUGGUCUGAGAGGAUGACCAGCCACACUGGAACUGAGACACGGUCCAGACUCCUACGGGAGGCAGCAGUGGGGAAUAUUGCACAAUGGGCGCAAGCCUGAUGCAGCCAUGCCGCGUGUAUGAAGAAGGCCUUCGGGUUGUAAAGCACUUUCAGCGGGGAGGAAGGUGAUGAGGUUAAUAACCGCAUCAAUUGACGUUACUCGCAGAAGAAGCACCGGCUAACUCCGUGCCAGCAGCCGCGGUAAUACGGAGGGUGCAAGCGUUAAUCGGAAUUACUGGGCGUAAAGCGCACGCAGGCGGUCUGUCAAGUCAGAUGUGAAAUCCCCGGGCUUAACCUGGGAACUGCAUUUGAAACUGGCAAGCUAGAGUCUUGUAGAGGGGGGUAGAAUUCCA